CCCAAUGCCACUGCCAGGUCUCAGGGUUCCUGGUGCUGCGCCAAGGGCCUAGGGAGAGUAAGUAGCCCAAUCGAGGCUCAGGGUUCUGUUUCUCAUAAGGUGCCCUGGCCCAGAUGAGGAUCAAGGGCCAGGGACCAGGCCAAAGGGCCUGUAAAGGGCCAGGGUCCAGGAGGAAUGUGAUGUGAGGGCACAGUGGGGGGUCACAGUGGGUGCAGAGAAGAGCAAGUGUCAGGACCCAAUCAAGGAGCCCAGGUAAGGGACCGGCCCCACCAAAAUGUAUUAGGGACCCAAUGAUCAGGAGUCCCCUGCUCCAGGAAAAAGUGGUAGGGGAAGGAGAAAUAGGAUCAGCAUUAGGAUGAGGAGACAGAGGGCUUCGCAAAGGGCACAUAAGGGAACGAUUUUGGGGGCCAAAUCAAGGGGCGCCCAGGUCAGACAUGACAGGAAGAGACACCAGAGAAAGGAAUACAACCCAAGUAAUGGAUAAGGACCUCAGGCUGGCAGCCAGGCCAGGGGACUCUAGGGUGAAAGGUCAGGGUGAAGAAAAGCUGAGUUAGGUUAGGGGCAGCUUUCAAAGCUAGAGGGCAGGAGAGGGAAAGCAGGGGAUCGCCCAGAGUAAUGUCAUUACUUGGCCCAAGUCUACUACCAGUUGUCAACUUUGGGUGGCAAUGAGGGCCCAGACAACAGGCCCAUAGGGAUCCUCAGGGCCCAGAGGCCAGACAAUUCAAUUCUUCUGCCCCCGUUGAGUAGAUCCUCAGAGUGGGACCAGGACCAAAGGAGGGCAAUGUGAGGGAUGCUUUUAAUCGAGGAUUGGGGGGUGUUGGUGGGGAGCCAACAACCAUUGGAGGAGAUCAGCCUAAGGAGAAGCAGGGGAAGAGGAGGGUCCUGGCAAUUACAAA
Molecule: long non-coding RNA, 896 nt
Filed under: Marmota monax (woodchuck)
Lineage: Eukaryota; Metazoa; Chordata; Mammalia; Rodentia; Sciuridae
Source: RNAcentral